Molecule: ribosomal RNA, 279 nt
Filed under: uncultured bacterium
Lineage: Bacteria
Description: partial 16S ribosomal RNA
Rfam family: Bacterial small subunit ribosomal RNA
Source: RNAcentral
UGCCAGCCGCCGCGGUAAUACAGAGGGUGCAAGCGUUAAUCGGAGUUACUGGGCGUAAAGCGCGCGUAGGCGGAUACAACAGUCAGAUGUGAAAUCCCUGGGCUCAACCUAGGAACUGCAUUUGAUACUUUGUAUCUAGAGUAUGGUAGAGGGAAGUGGAAUUUCCGGUGUAGCGGUAAAAUGCAUAGAUAUCGGAAAGAACAUCAGUGGCGAAGGCGACUUCCUGGACCAAUACUGACGCUGAGGUGCGAAAGCAUGGGGAGCAAACAGGAUUAGAUA